UGGCGGCGUGCUUAACACAUGCAAGUCGAACGAUGAAGCCUGUAACUUGUUGUGGGUGGAUUAGUGGCGAACGGGUGAGUAAUACGUGAGUAACCUGCCCUCCUUUUUGGGAUAAGCCUUGGAAACGGGGUCUAAUACCGGAUAUUCUGGCAUGCUCGCAUGGGUGUGUUGGGAAAGCUUUAUGUGAAGGGGGAUGGGCUCGCGGCCUAUCAGCUUGUUGGUGGGGUGAUGGCCUACCAAGGCGGUGACGGGUAGCCGGCCUGAGAGGGUGACCGGCCACAUUGGGACUGAGAUACGGCCCAGACUCCUACGGGAGGCAGCAGUGGGGGAUAUUGCACAAUGGGCGAAAGCCUGAUGCAGCGACGCCGCGUGGGGGAUGAAGGCUUUCGGGUUGUAAACCUCUUUCGCUAUCGAACAAGGCUCAUUUUUUGGUGGGUUGAGGGUAGGUGGAGAAGAAGCGCCGGCUAACUACGUGCCAGCAGCCGCGGUAAUACGUAGGGCGCGAGCGUUGUCCGGAAUUAUUGGGCGUAAAGGGCUUGUAGGCGGCUUGUUGCGCCUGCUGUGAAAACGCGGGGCUUAACUUCGCGCGUGCAGUGGGUACGGGCAGGCUUGAGUGUGGUAGGGGUGACUGGAAUUCCAGGUGUAGCGGUGGAAUGCGCAGAUAUCUGGAGGAACACCGAUGGCGAAGGCAGGUCACUGGGCCAUUACUGACG
RNAcentral lists this ribosomal RNA (713 nucleotides) under Actinotignum schaalii. RNAcentral describes it as "bacterial SSU rRNA". It matches the Rfam family "Bacterial small subunit ribosomal RNA", at positions 37 to 745 of the family's 1533-position model. Lineage: Bacteria; Bacillati; Actinomycetota; Actinomycetes; Actinomycetales; Actinomycetaceae. The record is from RNAcentral.